Molecule: long non-coding RNA, 1246 nt
Filed under: Equus caballus (horse)
Lineage: Eukaryota; Metazoa; Chordata; Mammalia; Perissodactyla; Equidae
Description: lncRNA (ENSECAG00000051703.1)
Source: RNAcentral
CCCAUGUUGGAUAGUGACCGCGGAAAGUCCAAUUAUCAGUGGCCGACACCACCCACUGAAUUUCUUCUGGCUGAAAUUUUUGAUUGUUUCACUGCCAAAACCAGGUUGGCUGUUUAUUCUGGAUGCCAAUGGCUAUUAUUAAUCAUGUUGAUAAACAAGGCUCCCCAAAUCAUCUCAAUACCAGGAACAAUUCACUUCAAACGAUAGCAGCAACAAUGACACUAACAACAAAAUCCACAAGUCAGUCCCAUGGUGUCCACUCUCACCCAGGGGAGCCUGGUGAGGAGUUGAUGAGUAUUUUUGGAUAUAGACAACUUGUGCCUGGCCCAGACCCUCUGAUUUCUUCAGUAGCGCUUUCCAGAGAGUUCAAAUUAUUUCCUAAUUUGUUCCAGAUACACCAUGUUUUGUGGCUUCAUUUGGGCAUUGAGGUCAUCACGAGAUGAUGGAGUUGGGCAAAGGAGAAAGUAGAGAGAGGAAAGAAAUGCCUCUUUCCUUCCUUCGUUCGCUCAGUUGUUCCUUCACUCACUCGUUGCUGAGUGUCUGCGCGUCCUAGGGGCUGGGGAUUGAACGUUGAGGGAAGCAGAAGUUCCACCGUGCUGACCAUCGAGCACGCCAGAUCCUCAGUCAGUGCGUCUUUUCAAGGGUCUCCUUGCCUGGUGCUAAAUUUUGGGUGAUGGUGGCAGAAAAAGAAAUAUCCAAUGAAAGGAAUGAUUCAUGGGGGGCUCCAGCCAUGGUGACAGGCGGUAGGAGAGACAACCUGGUCAAAACACAUCAACUGAGGAGGCUGCCUUGCCCAGAGAAAGGAUCCUGCAGUGGCUUUAAGCCACAAUUUCUUUGGCCUCUGCCCAGCCACCGUGAGAAUCAGCCCAGGUGAGUCUGCUAGAGGACGAGAGACCUCGCGGAGGAGAGCCCAGUCAGGUCAGCCAAGGCCAUCCCAGAUUCUCCCAUGGCCAGUGGAUCCCAUAUAUGUGAGAGAGCUCAGCCCAGCUCAGAAAGCAAAGCCACCUCUCUGACUCUGGCUGCACUCAGACAUGUAAGUGAGCCCUGCUGAGGCCAGAAGAACCACCAGCUGACCUGUAGACAGUGAGCAGAAUAAUUGCUUACUGUCGUAAUUGUUUAUUGCUUUGGGUAGUUUGUUAGGCAGCAAUAGCUAACUGAUGUAGCGUGUGUGAGUGAUGAUAAUGAUAUAAGAAUAAUAAAAUUGUAGUCACUGUAAGGGCUACCAUUUACCAUGUUUCAGGUACUG